GAUGAAGAACGUAGCAAAAUGCGAUAAGUAAUGUGAAUUGCAGAAUUCAGUGAAUCAUCGAAUCUUUGAACGCACAUUGCGCCCGCUGGUAUUCCGGCGGGCAUGCCUGUUCGAGCGUCAUUUCAACCCUCAAGCCCCCGGGUUUGGUGUUGGGGAUCGGCUCUGCCCUUCUGGGCGGUGCCGCCCCCGAAAUACAUUGGCGGUCUCGCUGCAGCCUCCAUUGCGUAGUAGCUAACACCUCGCAACUGGAACGCGGCGCGGCCAUGCCGUAAAACCCCCCAACUUUUUGACAGAGUUGACCUCGAAUCAGGUAGGAAUACCCGCUGAACUUAAGCAUAUCAAUAAGCGGAGGA
This 353-nucleotide unclassified non-coding RNA is filed under the name soil metagenome. Its description in RNAcentral is "partial contains 5.8S ribosomal RNA, internal transcribed spacer 2, and large subunit ribosomal RNA". The stretch from base 1 to 120 matches the Rfam family "5.8S ribosomal RNA", at positions 35 to 154 of the family's 154-position model. The record is from RNAcentral.